RNAcentral lists this ribosomal RNA (1595 nucleotides) under Eupsophus vertebralis (Valdivia ground frog). Its description in RNAcentral is "16S ribosomal RNA". It matches the Rfam family "Bacterial large subunit ribosomal RNA". The record is from RNAcentral. Lineage: Eukaryota; Metazoa; Chordata; Amphibia; Anura; Alsodidae.
GCUGAAACUCUAGCCCCACCCCCUCUCAUGAAACUAUAAUAUUUUAAUUAACCAAUUAAAACAUUCUAACAGUUUAGUAAAGGCGAUUGAAAAACUAACAGGAGCAACACACACAGUACCGCAAGGGAAAGAUGAAAUAAAAUGAAAUACCUUAAGCACAAAAAAGUAGGGAUUAACUCCCGUACCUUUUGCAUCAUGGUUUAACUAGUUCAAUCAAGCAAAAAGAUUUUAAGUUUGACCCCCCGAAACUAAGCGAGCUACUUCAAGGCAGCUUAAUGAGCUAACCCGUCUCUGUCGCAAAAGAGUGGGAAGACCUUCAAGUAGAGGUGAUAAACCUAACGAGCUUAGUGAUAGCUGGUUACUCAAGAAAAAGAUUUAGUCUAACCUAAAGUUAACUUAAUACUAAAAAUGAAAACUUAACUCUAGAGCUAUUCAAAUAAGGUACAGCCUAUUUGAAGCAGGACACAACCUCAACUAACGGGUAAACUACAGUCUGAUAUAAUAAAGUAGGCUUAAGAGCAGCCACCUUUUGAACAGCGUCAAAGCCUAAUUACUGCACCGCUAAAUUUCCUCAAUUCUCUCCAACCCUUUAUUUUUACUGAGUUAUUCUAUAAACUUAUAGAACUUUUUAUGUUAAAACUAGUAACAAGAAGAAGACCUUCUCCCUAAAUGCAAGUGUAAAUCAUAAAGGACACACCACUGAUAAUUAACAUCCCUGAAUAAGCAGUAGCAACUCAACAAGAAAACUCUACCAAUUUUUAUGUUAAUCUAACACAAGAGCAUUCCGAGAAAGAUUAAAAGAAAAAGAAGGAACUCGGCAAACACCAACCUCGCCUGUUUACCAAAAACAUCGCCUCUUGAAAUAAACAUAAGAGGUCCAGCCUGCCCAGUGACUCUGUUCAACGGCCGCGGUAUCCUAACCGUGCGAAGGUAGCGUAAUCACUUGUUCUUUAAAUGAGGACUAGUAUGAAUGGCACCACGAAGGUUGCACUGUCUCCUUUCUCUAAUCAGUGAAACUAAUCUCCCCGUGAAGAAGCGGGAAUUAAUCUAUAAGACGAGAAGACCCUAUGGAGCUUUAAACAAGAUAACAAUUGCUAACUUAUAUUUAAUUUCAGAAAACUAAAUUUCUACACCUUGGCAUUCUGAUUAUCAGUUUUAGGUUGGGGUGACCGCGGAGUAAAAAUUAACCUCCACAUUGAAACGGGAUAACCUUAAGCAAGAACCCACAACUUUAUGCAUCAGUAAACUGACAUUAAUUGACCCAAUAUUUUGAUCAACGAACCAAGUUACCCUAGGGAUAACAGCGCAAUCCGCUUCAAGAGCUCAUAUCGACAAGCGGGUUUACGACCUCGAUGUUGGAUCAGGGUAUCCUAGUGGUGCAGCCGCUACUUAAGGUUCGUUUGUUCAACGAUUAAAACCCUACGUGAUCUGAGUUCAGACCGGAGUAAUCCAGGUCAGUUUCUAUCUAUAAGGAGCUUUUUUUAGUACGAAAGGACCAAAAAAGCAUGGCCCAUGUCUCCGGCAAACCAUCUCUACUAAUUUAUGUCUUAAACUUAAUUUUUAUUUAGUCCUUACCCCCGCUCAAGAAAAGAGCA